This 570-nucleotide long non-coding RNA is filed under the name Mytilus galloprovincialis (Mediterranean mussel). Lineage: Eukaryota; Metazoa; Mollusca; Bivalvia; Mytilida; Mytilidae. The record is from RNAcentral.
CAAGUUUAGUAGUUGCUGAGAGUGACCAGUAAAGAAUUAGUCCUGACGAUUGAUGAAUGGUUUAAUAAAGACCUAGGUUUAAUCUGCAAGGCACAUCAGAAAAUUGCUUUGAAAUCCUCAAAGAAGUACGUGGCAAUUUGAGCGUAUUUACUGCCUUGAAAUCCUCAAAGGUUUUUGGAGUAUAUUUACAAUUUUCCCAGGGAUGGUCAACAGGAGUUUGAUUUGAUUAAUUAUGAUUAUUUGUAAGUGACAGUUUUCUUCAUUUGGAUGUACCAUGAUGUGGACAACUGAAGACUACGAUACUUUUGAGCCGAGCAGUAAAAAAUUUAAACAGGUGAACUUUAAUUUUUAAGCAAUUUUGAUAAAACAUGAAAAAAAAACAGGGAAAAAAUCAUUAAAAUUAUUUUUUGUGGUUCAUAUGAUUGAGGAAAAAAUAGCUAUAAAAGAUAAGAUGAAUUGAGGUAACAAGAGGGGAAAAGAUAAGAUAAAUUGAGGUAACAAGAGGGAAAAAGAUAAGAUAAAUUGAGGUAACAAGAGGGGAAAAGCAGCAGAAUCAAAUAUUAAAUGGAA